RNAcentral lists this ribosomal RNA (517 nucleotides) under uncultured bacterium. Its description in RNAcentral is "bacterial SSU rRNA". It matches the Rfam family "Bacterial small subunit ribosomal RNA", at positions 501 to 1016 of the family's 1533-position model. The record is from RNAcentral.
CUACGUGCCAGCAGCCGCGGUAAUACGUAGGUCCCGAGCGUUAUCCGGAUUUAUUGGGCGUAAAGCGAGCGCAGGCGGUUAGAUAAGUCUGAAGUUAAAGGCUGUGGCUUAACCAUAGUACGCUUUGGAAACUGUUUAACUUGAGUGCAGAAGGGGAGAGUGGAAUUCCAUGUGUAGCGGUGAAAUGCGUAGAUAUAUGGAGGAACACCGGUGGCGAAAGCGGCUCUCUGGUCUGUAACUGACGCUGAGGCUCGAAAGCGUGGGGAGCAAACAGGAUUAGAUACCCUGGUAGUCCACGCCGUAAACGAUGAGUGCUAGGUGUUGGGUCCUUUCCGGGACUCAGUGCCGCAGCUAACGCAUUAAGCACUCCGCCUGGGGAGUACGACCGCAAGGUUGAAACUCAAAGGAAUUGACGGGGGCCCGCACAAGCGGUGGAGCAUGUGGUUUAAUUCGGAGCAACGCGAAGAACCUUACCAGGUCUUGACAUCCCUCUGACCGCUCUAGAGAUAGAGCUUUC